AUGGACCCAAUGCCGACUCUGGUCAAGGAGGAGGAGGAUGGCCAUGGGACAGGAGAAUCGCCGGGGGCCACGGCGGCAUCGAGGCCGGUGAAGGGGCUGCGCGAUGCCAGGCCGUCGCUGUUCCUGACAAAGACGUACGACAUGGUCGAUGACCGGAGCACCGACGACGUCGUGUCGUGGAGCGCUGGCAAUAACAGCCUCGUCGUGUGGGAUCUGCACCACUUCUCCACAGUGCUGCUGCCGAGGCACUUCAAGCACAGCAACUUCUCCAGCUUUGUCAAGCAGCUCAACACCUAUGGUUUCAGAAAGGUGGAUCCUGAUCGAUGGGAGUUUGCCAAUGAGGGUUUUCUACGGGGACAGAGGCACCUUCUGAAGAACAUCAGACGUCGAAGACCUCCCGCUAAUACUGCUUCAAAUCAGCAAUCUCUUGGAUCAUACCUUGAGGUGGGACACUUUGGAAAUCAUACAGAUACCGACCAGCUGAAAAGGGACAAGCAACUAUUGAUGGCAGAAGUGGUGAAGCUAAGGCAGGAACAGCAGAGCAUGAAAACGCACCUGAAAGGCAUGGAGGAGAGGCUACAUGGAACCGAGCGGAAGCAGCAGCAAAUGACAGCAUUCCUGGCACGUGUCUUCCAGAAACCUGAAUUAUUGAAGCAACUGAUUUCCCUGAAUGGGGUGAGGAAGGAGCUCCAUGACGCUAUGUCAAAGAAAAGGAGGCGUAGCAUCGGUCAGGGUCCUGAAGCUGAUGACAUGGGUGCUAGUGGCAGCCUGGAGCAAGAGUCACCUGUUCUGUCUGAUCCCCAUGAGUCAGUGGAACUUCUUGGAGAGGGGUCGGUGGAACUCCUUGCUGACGGCGUCCCAUCUGAGCUGGAAAGUUCGGCAGCACUCCUUGCUGAUGGGAUCCCACCUGACCUGGAAGGUGCGGCGGAACUCCUUGUUGAUGUGAUUCCAUCUGAUCUCAACGACUCAGGCGUCGACACUAACGGUGUAAAGCCACAGGAUUUUGGUCUCGGUACCUGUGAAGUGCAGCAGAACAGAGCCCAGGGGGCGUUGCAUGAUGAUUUCUGGGAGGAGCUGAUGAGCAGAGCACUCAGCGGUGAGGAUGACAACCCGGAUAACGUGGACGACAUGGAUGUGCUGUCUGAGAAGACGGAUUUUCUCGUCCCAAACAAUGUGCGGGGAGCAGUGGCCCGUGAACCGGCGGGGCAACGCUACGGGUGGCACAACUUCUGCGUCGACAAUGCCCUCAACGUCGCCUGCCUACUCGCGCGCUCCGGGACCGUCCAGUUGCCACUGCUUUGA
RNAcentral lists this ribosomal RNA (1302 nucleotides) under Triticum aestivum (bread wheat). RNAcentral describes it as "partial small subunit ribosomal RNA". Lineage: Eukaryota; Viridiplantae; Streptophyta; Magnoliopsida; Poales; Poaceae. The record is from RNAcentral.